Molecule: non-coding RNA, 253 nt
Filed under: uncultured bacterium
Lineage: Bacteria
Also listed under: 1 other name
Description: partial 16S ribosomal RNA
Rfam family: Bacterial small subunit ribosomal RNA
Source: RNAcentral
UACGGAGGGGGCUAGCGUUAUUCGGAAUUACUGGGCGUAAAGAGCGCGUAGGCGGUUUAUUAAGUUGGAAGUGAAAGCCCAGGGCUUAACCUUGGAACUGCUUUCAAAACUGAUAAGCUAGAGAUUGAUAGGGGAUAGCGGAAUUCCUAGUGUAGAGGUGAAAUUCUUAGAUAUUAGGAGGAACACCGGAGGCGAAGGCGGCUAUCUGGAUCAACACUGACGCUGAGGUGCGAAAGCGUGGGGAGCAAACAGG